AUUGAACGCUGGCGGCAGGCCUAACACAUGCAAGUCGAGCGGAUGACGGGAGCUUGCUCCUUGAUUCAGCGGCGGACGGGUGAGUAAUGCCUAGGAAUCUGCCUGGUAGUGGGGGACAACGUUUCGAAAGGAACGCUAAUACCGCAUACGUCCUACGGGAGAAAGCAGGGGACCUUCGGGCCUUGCGCUAUCAGAUGAGCCUAGGUCGGAUUAGCUUGUUGGUGAGGUAAUGGCUCACCAAGGCGACGAUCCGUAACUGGUCUGAGAGGAUGAUCAGUCACACUGGAACUGAGACACGGUCCAGACUCCUACGGGAGGCAGCAGUGGGGAAUAUUGGACAAUGGGCGAAAGCCUGAUCCAGCCAUGCCGCGUGUGUGAAGAAGGUCUUCGGAUUGUAAAGCACUUUAAGUUGGGAGGAAGGGUUGUAGAUUAAUACUCUGCAAUUUUGACGUUACCGACAGAAUAAGCACCGGCCAACUCUGUG
This 484-nucleotide ribosomal RNA is filed under the name uncultured bacterium. Its description in RNAcentral is "partial 16S ribosomal RNA". It matches the Rfam family "Bacterial small subunit ribosomal RNA", at positions 30 to 507 of the family's 1533-position model. The record is from RNAcentral.